This 491-nucleotide ribosomal RNA is filed under the name uncultured Ralstonia sp. RNAcentral's name for it is "bacterial SSU rRNA". It matches the Rfam family "Bacterial small subunit ribosomal RNA", at positions 66 to 549 of the family's 1533-position model. Lineage: Bacteria; Pseudomonadati; Pseudomonadota; Betaproteobacteria; Burkholderiales; Burkholderiaceae. The record is from RNAcentral.
GCAGCAUGAUCUAGCUUGCUAGAUUGAUGGCGAGUGGCGAACGGGUGAGUAAUACAUCGGAACGUGCCCUGUAGUGGGGGAUAACUAGUCGAAAGAUUAGCUAAUACCGCAUACGACCUGAGGGUGAAAGUGGGGGACCGCAAGGCCUCAUGCUAUAGGAGCGGCCGAUGUCUGAUUAGCUAGUUGGUGAGGUAAAGGCUCACCAAGGCGACGAUCAGUAGCUGGUCUGAGAGGACGAUCAGCCACACUGGGACUGAGACACGGCCCAGACUCCUACGGGAGGCAGCAGUGGGGAAUUUUGGACAAUGGGCGAAAGCCUGAUCCAGCAAUGCCGCGUGUGUGAAGAAGGCCUUCGGGUUGUAAAGCACUUUUGUCCGGAAAGAAAUGGCUCUGGUUAAUACCUGGGGUCGAUGACGGUACCGGAAGAAUAAGGACCGGCUAACUACGUGCCAGCAGCCGCGGUAAUACGUAGGGUCCAAGCGUUAAUCGGA